UACGGAGGGUGCGAGCGUUGUCCGGAAUCACUGGGCGUAAAGGGCGCGUAGGUGGCGCAGAAGUCAACGGUGAAAGUUCGGGGCUCAACCCUGAAUCGGCCGUCGAUACUCCUGGGCUCGAGCACUGUAGGAGGCAGAUGGAAUUCCGGGUGUAGCGGUGGAAAUGCGUAGAGAUCGGAAGAACACCGGUGGCGAAGGCGGUCUGCUGGGCAGUGCUGACACUUGAGGCGCGACACGUGGGAGCAACAGGGAUAAGAACCAUUGUACGUACCAGC
Molecule: ribosomal RNA, 275 nt
Filed under: uncultured bacterium
Lineage: Bacteria
Description: partial 16S ribosomal RNA
Rfam family: Bacterial small subunit ribosomal RNA
Source: RNAcentral